This 512-nucleotide ribosomal RNA is filed under the name uncultured bacterium. Its description in RNAcentral is "partial 16S ribosomal RNA". It matches the Rfam family "Bacterial small subunit ribosomal RNA", at positions 28 to 523 of the family's 1533-position model. The record is from RNAcentral.
GAUGAACGCUGGCGGCGUGCCUAAUACAUGCAAGUCGAGCGAAUGAAGAGGAGCUUGCUCCUCUGAUUUAGCGGCGGACGGGUGAGUAACACGUGGGUAAUCUGCCUGUAAGACGGGGAUAACUCCGGGAAACCGGGGCUAAUAACGGAUAAUAAAAAGAAACGCAUGUUUCUUUUUUGAACGUUGUUUUCGGCUAACACUUACCGAUCACCCCGCUGCGCAUUAGAGAGUUGGUGAGGUAACGGCUCACCAAGGCGACGAUGCGUAGCCGACCUGAGAGGGUGAUCGGCCACACUGGGACUGAGACACGGCCCAGACGCCUACGGGAGGCAGCAGUAGGGAAUCUUCGGCAAUGGGCGAAGGCCUGACCGAGCAACGCCGCGUGAGCGAUGAAGGCCUUCGGGUCGUAAAGCUCUGUUGUUAGGGAAGAACACGUACGAGAGUAACUGCUCGUACCUUGACGGUACCUAACCAGAAAGCCACGGCUAACUACGUGCCAGCAGCCGCUGUAA